GACGAACGCUGGCGGCGUGCUUAACACAUGCAAGUCGAACGGAAAGGCCCUGCUUUUGUGGGGUGCUCGAGUGGCGAACGGGUGAGUAACACGUGAGUAACCUGCCCUUUACUUUGGGAUAACUUCAGGAAACUGGGGCUAAUACCGGAUAGGAGCUCCUGCUGCAUGGUGGGGGUUGGAAAGUUUCGGCGGCUGGGGAUGGACUCGCGGCUUAUCAGCUUGUUGGUGGGGUAGUGGCUUACCAAGGCUUUGACGGGUAGCCGGCCUGGGAGGGUGACCGGCCACAUUGGGACUGAGAUACGGCCCAGUCUCCUACGGGAGGCAGCAGUGGGGAAUAUUGCACAAUGGGCGGAAGCCUGAUGCAGCAACGCCGCGUGCGGGAUGACGGCCUUCGGGUUGUAAACCGCUUUCGCCUGUGACGAAGCGUGAGUGACGGUAAUGGGUAAAGAAGCACCGGCUAACUACGUG
Molecule: ribosomal RNA, 468 nt
Filed under: uncultured bacterium
Lineage: Bacteria
Description: partial 16S ribosomal RNA
Rfam family: Bacterial small subunit ribosomal RNA
Source: RNAcentral